Molecule: long non-coding RNA, 1332 nt
Filed under: Callithrix jacchus (white-tufted-ear marmoset)
Lineage: Eukaryota; Metazoa; Chordata; Mammalia; Primates; Cebidae
Description: lncRNA (ENSCJAG00000076293.1)
Source: RNAcentral
CAGCUCACUACAACCUCUGCCUCCUGGGUUCAAGUGAUUCUCCUGCCUCAGCCUCCCAAGGAGCUGGUAUUACAUGAGCCUGCCACAACACCCAGCUAAUUUUUUUUUUAAUUUUAGUAGAGCUGGAAUUUUACCAUGUGGCCAGGCUGGUAUUGAACUUCUAACAUCAGGUGAUCCAUCUGCCUCAUCCUCGCAAAGUUCUGGGAUUACAAGCAUGAGCCACUGCGCCCAGCCAUGGUUCCUGACUACACCUUUGGUGCUCUUACUUGGAAAUUCACUUAUUGGAUGGGAAAGCUCAAGGCAUCACAUGUAUUAUUAAAAUGAAGCUGAUAAAACUAUAGAAAAACAAGAAGUCUGAGGACAGAGAAGUGAACAAGAGUGGCAUAAUGUCAGUUUGUGUGGAUCUUACAUUCCAGUGGAAGACAAAAGAGAACAUCUAAAACUAGAGAAAGAAGAAUUAACUGCGAUGCAGAUAAUUGAGACCAAUGAUGUCAUGGUGUAUAUCUGAGUGACUGCCUUGUGGAUAAAUGGCCUUGAAAGAACCAGUAAUGUGAAAAUGAAGAGAAAGAACUUUCAAGGCAGAGGUAACACUUGUGUGAAGACCAUAAAUUUAAAAUAAAGAAGUUGCAUAAUUGAAUAACUAGAAAGUUGGUGUUGCUUAAAAAUAGCAGUUCAAAGGAGAGUGCUAUUGGAUAAGGUCGAAAAAAAAAGAGAGAGUCCAGCUCUACAGGACUUUGUAAGCAGAAUAAGGAGACCGGAUUUAUUUCAAAUACAAAGUGAAGUCAAUGAUAGACCUUAAAUAGGAAGUGAUUGUUUUUAUACAUUUGUAGCAGAUGAUUUUGGCCAGCAUGAUUUUGGGGAUGUGAUAGUGGCAAGUGUUAAACCAGAGAAACUUUCAGAAUAUCAGAUAACAAGUGUAAUAGGCAAUGAAAGUAGAGAGGGAUAGAAAUAGAUAGAUUCACUAUACAUUUGAAAAUAUUUACGGAUGAGUUGAAAGUGGUAGGGGAAAACAGAAUACUCAAUUAUAUUUUCUAGAUUUUUUAUUUAAGCAAGUAAAGUGGAUGAAUGAUGUGGUUCUUUCAAAUGAGGAAAAUCAGGGGAAGAAGUAGAUAAGGAGGUAGAAAUAAAACAUUUUGCUCGAUAUUAAUUUUUAAAUGACACAUAAUUCCAGAUUUAUUAAAUGAAUGAUUUCCUUUUAUUCAAAAGUCUUGGUUGCUAAUAACUUUUAGCUUAAUUUUUUCAUAGUUUGGAUAAAAGCCAAAAUCUCUCCUCAAACAUUAGAGAGAUAUUUCUAUAUGAAGGCAAAGAAGUUAGGAGAAAAUCAUAUCUGGG